GACGAGGUGGCCGAGUGGUUAAGGCGAUGGACUGCUAAUCUAUUGGGAUGUUCCCGCGUGAGUUCGAAUCUCAUCCUCGUCG
Molecule: non-coding RNA, 82 nt
Organism: Octopus bimaculoides (California two-spot octopus)
Lineage: Eukaryota; Metazoa; Mollusca; Cephalopoda; Octopoda; Octopodidae
Source: Rfam